Molecule: ribosomal RNA, 395 nt
Filed under: uncultured bacterium
Lineage: Bacteria
Description: bacterial SSU rRNA
Rfam family: Bacterial small subunit ribosomal RNA
Source: RNAcentral
ACUCUAGAGAAGAGCCUUCCCCUUCGGGGGACAAAGUGACAGGUGGUGCAUGGUUGUCGUCAGCUCGUGUCGUGAGAUGUUGGGUUAAGUCCCGCAACGAGCGCAACCCUUAAACUUAGUUGCCAGCAUUUAGUUGGGCACUCUAGGUUGACUGCCGGUGACAAACCGGAGGAAGGUGGGGAUGACGUCAAAUCAUCAUGCCCCUUAUGAUUUGGGCUACACACGUGCUACAAUGGACAAUACAAAGGGCAGCUAAACCGCGAGGUCAUGCAAAUCCCAUAAAGUUGUUCUCAGUUCGGAUUGUAGUCUGCAACUCGACUACAUGAAGCUGGAAUCGCUAGUAAUCGUAGAUCAGCAUGCUACGGUGAAUACGUUCCCGGGUCUUGUACACACCG